This 258-nucleotide unclassified non-coding RNA is filed under the name uncultured fungus. Its description in RNAcentral is "sequence contains 5.8S rRNA gene". The record is from RNAcentral. Lineage: Eukaryota; Fungi.
GUCUACCACCGGGAUGUUCAUAACCCUUUGUUGUCCGACUCUGUUGCCUCCGGGGCGACCCUGCCUUCGGGCGGGGGCUCCGGGUGGACACUUCAAACUCUUGCGUAACUUUGCAGUCUGAGUAAACUUAAUUAAUAAAUUAAAACUUUUAACAACGGAUCUCUUGGUUCUGGCAUCGAUGAAGAACGCAGAGAAUCAUUACAGUGACCCCGGUCUAACCACGGGAUGUUCAUAACCCUUUGUUGUCCGACUCUUUGC